Molecule: ribosomal RNA, 253 nt
Filed under: uncultured bacterium
Lineage: Bacteria
Description: partial 16S ribosomal RNA
Rfam family: Bacterial small subunit ribosomal RNA
Source: RNAcentral
UACGUAGGUGGCAAGCGUUAUCCGGAUUUAUUGGGUGUAAAGGGAACGCAGGCGGUCUUUUAAGUCUGAUGUGAAAGCCUUCGGCUUAACCGGAGUAGUGCAUUGGAAACUGGGAGACUUGAGUGCAGAAGAGGAGAGUGGAACUCCAUGUGUAGCGGUGAAAUGCGUAGAUAUAUGGAAGAACACCAGUGGCGAAAGCGGCUCUCUGGUCUGUAACUGACGCUGAGGUUCGAAAGCGUGGGUAGCAAACAGG